UUUAUCUACUAAAGACAUUAUAGUUGUAUGUAUAUAGUGUUGGAUGUUCUGCUUUAGGGUUUUUGGGUUGUAUGUGUUUAAGGUUUUAGUUAGUGAUUAACGUUCUGGCUCUCCUAGGUCCUAGAUCUUGUUCGUGGUUGUCAAACUCGUUUAUAACUUGGUAUGAUCUUGUUCCAGACAAGCAAGAAGGAAGAGGAUGUUGAAUCUGAUGGCCCACGCCUCAAUGAUAAGAUUACCUCCGAGACUGUAAGAUUGGUUUCCGAGGAAGGACACUGUAUUGUGACUCUGAAGGAAGCUCUCAGACGGGCAAAAGAGCUCAAGCAUGACUUGGUUGAGAGAUGCUAAGCCACCAGUGUGUAAAAUUGUAGACUACGCACAUGACAAGUACAAAAAUGAUCAAGUAGGAAAGGAGCGUGCUAAGGCCAAGGUCUGUUACAUGGCCUUUGGUAUUGAAAAUAUAAAAAUUGUCGUUGUGUGUUGAGUUUAUGGGUUUUGCCUGGUUCUAGCGGGCUGAAGUAACCAUUAGACCUGAGGUCAAGGAAAUUCAUUUUACUCCAAAGAUUGAUGCAAAGGACCUACAAUUUGAAGCAAAGCAAGCAUCAAUACUGAUGGAGAUGUGAAGGAUGCAAAUGACCUACAUAUUUCUUUUUUGUUAACAUUCAUAUUUUAUCAUCCAACGCUUUUUUGUUUAACCGUUAAUAUUCCACAACUUAUAAAACAUCACUUUAACCGUACUACAUAAUAUU
Brassica oleracea var. oleracea is the source of this 746-nucleotide RNA transcript. It is a transcript of the gene named translation initiation factor IF-3-like, with no coding region annotated. The transcript has 4 exons. Lineage: Eukaryota; Viridiplantae; Streptophyta; Magnoliopsida; Brassicales; Brassicaceae. The record is from RefSeq and is a predicted model, not a curated record.